CGUGAGAGCAACUGUUCACGCAGUGACGGUAUCUAACCAGAAAGUCACGGCUAACUACGUCCCAGCAGCCGCSGUAAUACGUAGGUCGCAAGCGUUAUCCGGAUUUAUUGGGCGUAAAGCGAGCGCASGCSCUUUGAUAAGUCUSYUGUGAAAGCCUUUGGCUUAACCAAAGAAGUGCAUCGGAAACUGUCAGACUUGAGUGCAGAAGAGGACAGUGGAACUCCAUGUGUAGCGGUGGAAUGCGUAGAUAUAUGGAAGAACACCAGUGGCGAAGGCGGCUGUCUGGUCUGCAACUGACGCUGAGGCUCGAAAGCAUGGGUAGCGAACAGGAUUAGAUACCCUGGUAGUCCAUGCCGUAAACGAUGAGUGCUAGGUGUUGGAGGGUUUCCGCCCUUCAGUGCCGCACUAACGCAUUAAGCACUCCGCCUGGGG
RNAcentral lists this ribosomal RNA (432 nucleotides) under uncultured bacterium. Its description in RNAcentral is "bacterial SSU rRNA". It matches the Rfam family "Bacterial small subunit ribosomal RNA", at positions 452 to 878 of the family's 1533-position model. The record is from RNAcentral.